CACUUUAGCCUAGAACGGAGGUAUACUCACAGGGCAAGGGCAUCAAGGAGGAGAAUGGACAAGGCUAAUAAAGAGGGGAAAGACAGUUCCCUCCCUUGAGCUAAAUCAACAACUAAAGCAGGCAUGCAUUCAAGGUUGGAGAGGACACAAAGGCCAUGGAUUCUCCAAAAUCUGCACAGGAGAGUGUACAAGUCGUCUUCCUCCCUGAGAUGCAAGUGAGAGCUUAGGUACCUGUGGCUCAUAAAAGCGAAGUCUGCUGUGCCAGAAACUUCUGGGCCUCUCGCCACUUGCCAGCCUACUUACCAGCAACUCCAGCAGCAUGAUCUGUAGAGGAAAGAGAAGUGCAGAACCUGGCACAGGUGAAAUAAGAAAACAGCUCAUUAAAGAUGAUCCAAGAACUUAAAUAAGCAGUAAAAUUGACAAAGAGCUACA
Ailuropoda melanoleuca (giant panda) is the source of this 432-nucleotide long non-coding RNA. RefSeq lists it as uncharacterized. The record is from RefSeq and is a predicted model, not a curated record. NCBI's taxonomy places the organism in Eukaryota, Metazoa, Chordata, Mammalia, Carnivora, Ursidae. The transcript has 3 exons.